This is a transfer RNA of Babjeviella inositovora NRRL Y-12698, 72 nucleotides long. It matches the Rfam family "tRNA". From Rfam's summary of the family: Transfer RNA (tRNA) molecules are approximately 80 nucleotides in length. Their secondary structure includes four short double-helical elements and three loops (D, anti-codon, and T loops). Further hydrogen bonds mediate the characteristic L-shaped molecular structure. tRNAs have two regions of fundamental functional importance: the anti-codon, which is responsible for specific mRNA codon recognition, and the 3' end, to which the tRNAs corresponding amino acid is attached (by aminoacyl-tRNA synthetases). tRNAs cope with the degeneracy of the genetic code in two manners: having more than one tRNA (with a specific anti-codon) for a particular amino acid; and 'wobble' base-pairing, i.e. permitting non-standard base-pairing at the 3rd anti-codon position. NCBI's taxonomy places the organism in Eukaryota, Fungi, Ascomycota, Pichiomycetes, Serinales. The record is from Rfam.
GCUCGCAUGGUCUAGUGGUAUGACGUCUCAUUCACUCUGAGAAGGUCAAGGGUUCGAUCCCCUUUGUGAUCA